UACGGAGGGAGCUAGCGUUGUUCGGAAUUACUGGGCGUAAAGCGUACGUAGGCGGUUAUUCAAGUCAGAGGUGAAAGCCCGGGGGCUCAACCCCGGAACUGCCUUUGAAACUAGAUAGCUAGAAUCUUGGAGAGGUCAGUGGAAUUCCGAGUGUAGAGGUGAAAUUCGUAGAUAUUCGGAAGAACACCAGUGGCGAAGGCGACUGACUGGACAAGUAUUGACGCUGAGGUACGAAAGCGUGGGGAGCAAACAGG
This 254-nucleotide ribosomal RNA is filed under the name uncultured bacterium. RNAcentral describes it as "partial 16S ribosomal RNA". It matches the Rfam family "Bacterial small subunit ribosomal RNA", at positions 524 to 776 of the family's 1533-position model. The record is from RNAcentral.